GAAUCCAAAUCCGAUGGGCAAUCAGGCAUCAGAAUUCAUCGAUAUGUAACCCUGAUCGAAGAGUCCCAAACCAGUGGGACUCUUGACCCUGGUACCCAAAAUGUGUGGGACUCAUGAUCAGAGAAUCCUGAUUCUCGAUCACAAAGUCUCAGACACAUAAGACUCAUAGUCCACGAGCAUUAAGACUCUUCAUCAGCCAUCAGAUCAGAUAGGAACCUCUAAUAUGUGUGACCCCGCA
RNAcentral lists this long non-coding RNA (238 nucleotides) under Elaeis guineensis (African oil palm). RNAcentral describes it as "long non-coding RNA (EGUI_LNC060001)". The record is from RNAcentral. Lineage: Eukaryota; Viridiplantae; Streptophyta; Magnoliopsida; Arecales; Arecaceae.